UGGGUAGGGGUUCAGUAUUUGAAAAUAAUUUUAAAUUUUAUAAAAUAUUUUUAUAAUUAUUUUUCAUGCAUAAUUAUUUAGAUCUGAAAUUUGAAUUAGCUCACUCCUGGAUUGAGCCGACUCACCACAAUGGAUCGACUAAGUUUCGAGACUUAGUUGACUCAUUGAUGAUAAACUAUUAAUCAUAAUUUUCAAUCUAUUUUAUUAAGUUAACU
Molecule: long non-coding RNA, 215 nt
Filed under: Elaeis guineensis (African oil palm)
Lineage: Eukaryota; Viridiplantae; Streptophyta; Magnoliopsida; Arecales; Arecaceae
Description: long non-coding RNA (EGUI_LNC050598)
Source: RNAcentral